Molecule: ribosomal RNA, 879 nt
Filed under: uncultured bacterium
Lineage: Bacteria
Description: bacterial SSU rRNA
Rfam family: Bacterial small subunit ribosomal RNA
Source: RNAcentral
GGCUCAGGACGAACGCUGGCGGCGUGCUUAACACAUGCAAGUCGAACGGGGUCCUGGUUGGUGGCAACACCUUCCAGUACCUAGUGGCGAACGGGUGAGGAACACGUGAGCAACCCACCCCGAACUCUGGGAUAACAGCGGGAAACCGCUGCUAAUACCGGAUACCUUCCUGCGGUCGCAUGGCCGUGCGAAGAAAGGGUUACUGGUUCGGGACGGGCUCGCGGCCUAUCAGCUUGUUGGUGGGGUAACGGCCUACCAAGGCUUCGACGGGUAGCUGGUCUGAGAGGAUGAUCAGCCACACUGGGACUGAGACACGGCCCAGACUCCUACGGGAGGCAGCAGUGGGGAAUCUUGCGCAAUGGGCGAAAGCCUGACGCAGCAACGCCGCGUGCGGGAUGACGGCCCUCGGGUUGUAAACCGCUUUCAGCAGGAACGAAUCUGACGGUACCUGCAGAAGAAGGUCCGGCCAACUACGUGCCAGCAGCCGCGGUAACACGUAGGGACCAAGCGUUGUCCGGAUUUAUUGGGCGUAAAGAGCUCGUAGGCGGUUCGGUAAGUCGGGUGUGAAAACUCUGGGCUCAACUCGGAGAGGCCACCCGAUACUGCCGUGACUUGAGUCCGGUAGGGGAGCACGGAAUUCCUGGUGUAGCGGUGAAAUGCGCAGAUAUCAGGAGGAACACCGGUGGCGAAGGCGGUGCUCUGGGCCGGUACUGACGCUGAGGAGCGAAAGCGUGGGUAGCAAACAGGAUUAGAUACCCUGGUAGUCCACGCCGUAAACGUUGGGCACUAGGUGUGGGACCCCGCCAACGGGUUCUGUGCCGCAGCUAACGCAUUAAGUGCCCCGCCUGGGGAGUACGGCCGCAAGGGUUAAACUUAAAG